RNAcentral lists this ribosomal RNA (1731 nucleotides) under Triticum aestivum (bread wheat). RNAcentral describes it as "partial small subunit ribosomal RNA". Lineage: Eukaryota; Viridiplantae; Streptophyta; Magnoliopsida; Poales; Poaceae. The record is from RNAcentral.
AUGGCGACUCCGCCGUCGCCGCCGCCGCCCACGCGCGCCUCCUGCGGCUCUUUACUCCAGGAACUGCAGGAACUAUGGGGAGAGAUAGGCCCGGAUGAACUGGAAAGAGAUAGGAUGAUCUUGCAGUUGGAGGAGGACUGCCUCAAUGUUUACAGGAAGAAAGUUGAACAAACUAGAAAGCAAAAGGCAGACCUGCUUCAAGUGAUGUCCUUGGGCGAAGCUGAGAUAGAAAAGAUACUUUCUGCUCUGGGAGAGCGUGAAUCCUUUUCUAGGGUGGAGAAGCUUGGGGGUACAUUAAUGGAACAACUUGCAAAACUAGAGCCAGUUCUGGAUGAUCUGAGACGGCGGAGAGAUGAGCGCAUAAAUGAAUUUUUGGCUGUUCAGCUGCAUAUAGUUCGUCUACAAGCUGAGAUUUCAGGAACUAUUAAUCAUGGGGAUCCUGCAGCUCCUUUAGUGGAUGAGACUGACCUAUCUACAGGAAGACUGGCUGAACUGAAAACCCAGCUUAAUGAGCUCCAAACAGAAAAGAAUCUCAGACUGCAAAAGAUUGAUGGUCAGAUCAAGUGUAUUAAUGAAAUGUGCAACAUGAUGUCUCUUGAUCUUAAGAAGACAUUAUAUGAAGUUCAUCCCAGCUUUGUUGAAUUGGAAAGAAUCAAAUCCAUGAGUAUAAGUGAUAGCACACUUGAUAGGCUUGCAGGAAAACUUCACGCACUAAAUCAAGAAAAGAAACAGAGGCUGCGGAAGCUACAAGAUCUUGGAAGCACACUCAUUGAGUUAUGGAGUCUAAUGGACACACCAUUAGAUGAACAGAAAUGCUUUGAUCAUGUUACCUCUUUGAUUUCAGUCUCACCCAAUACAGUGAUGCCCCAAGGAUGCCUUGCACAUGACCUUAUUGAGAAGGUAGAGGUUGAGGUCAAGAGGCUGAAGCAUUUGAAAGCUAGCAAAAUGAAAGAGCUUGUCUUAAAGAAAAUGACUCAGCUUGAAGAAAUCUACAGAAGUGUUCACAUGCAUAUUGACAGCGAUCAUGAGUGGCGGAUUCUCACCGAGCUUAUUGAUUCUGGUAGAGCAGAUCUCUCAGAGCUGCUUACAGAUAUGGAUGACCGAAUUGCAGAAGCAAGAGAUCUUGCUCUAAGCAGAAAGGACAUUCUAGAAAAGGUGGAAAAAUGGACAUCAGCAACUGAAGAGGAGGGUUGGCUCGGUGAAUAUGAGGGGGAUCAAAAUCGCUAUAAUGCUGGUCGAGGAGCUCACAUAAAUCUCAAGCGCGCGGAGAAGGCAAGGGUAUUGGUCAGCAAAAUUCCAUCCCUGCUGGAGAAUUUGACUACUAAAGUUAAUGCUUGGGAAAAGGAGAAGGGCAUGCCAUUUAUGUAUGAUAAGAAGAGGCUUUUGGAUAGCUUAGAAAAAUACACCUCUGAAAGACAACAAAAGGAAGAGGAAAAACGUCGAUCACGGGAACUUAAGAAACUACAAGAACAGUUUGCAGCAGAACAAGGUGCGCCAUAUGGAGCAAAGCCUAGUCCUAUGCGCCCGCUUUCGGCAAGGAAACCUCUUGGGCAGAGUACUAAUGUCAACAUUGUUGGUGGAACUCCUAACAGCCGGCGUGUGACUACCCCAGUUUCACGCAAGGGAGGCUUGUCUUGUGGAAAAAUGAAGGAUACUGGCAAGACAGCUGCUUCUAUACCGGCAAAUUAUGUUUCUCUUCCCAAGGAUUGCUCAGACAAUUCUUACAUGUGA